AAACUUACAAACAUAAUAAUCAAAAACCUGUUAUCAGAAUCAGAUUUUCCAUAUCACUGAAUCUGGUCGCGUUGACGUAUUGCUGAGCUAUGGACGUCCUUCCAGUUGAAGUAUUGGAAAAAAUAUUGUGCUUCAGUAAUCUUGAUUACCACGAUAUUGUUAACAUAUCUCUUACGUCAACAAGGCUGUGUAAUAUAUCCAACAGUAAUGAAGUGUGGAGAGCUUUAUUUAGAAGACGUUACCCCCUGCUCUACAAUAAAAUUAUCAACCACACUCAAGCUGGAGAUUUGAACUGGAAAUCACAUUUUGAAAACAGAUUCAAACUAGGAUUAAUCCUGGACAAAGAGAUUCUAGACAUGUCACCAAAGUUCUAUAAUCUUGCUGAACUCUCCUCGUUGGACUUCAAGUCUUUUGACAAUCUACUACUCGAGCACAACCCUGAGACAAGUUUCCAUCAUCUCUAUACACUAGAUCAUCUCAAUUUAUCUCUUCAAGAAAACAAACCUUGGGAAAACCUAACAUACAAGUUCUACUGCAGAAAAGCAUUAAUACACAUACAACAUCGUAUUCUCACUCCAAAGGUUAACAAUUUUUUCUCUCGAUGCUGUACUCAAGAUACUCUUAGAAUGUUUAAUAUCAGUGAAGUGAACGAAGAGGAAUUAAAGGAUUAUGAGACAGCACUGAUAUUAAUUGCACAAUGGUGUCAACCUGAUCAAUGUGUAGAUGAGCAUACAGUUCUCUCUGAGCUUGAUGAUCUGGCUCAACGUGUAUUUAAUAAACUGGUCGCUGAUCAGACAAUUGAUCCUUCGAAGAUUAGAACUCCUGCGGAACUCAAGAAAAUGGAGAAAAGUACAAGUUUAUGUCGAAGUAUUCUCGAUUGUGCAAAUCAGCAACUGAAGAAUGAAGGAUUCGCCGGGAACUCUGAAAACUAUUAUGUUCCUGAGAACUCAUUUAUCAACAAGGUUCUGGAGACAAAGUUGGGUAUUCCAAUUUCCCUGAGUCUGAUGUACACUUCUGUCCUGGCUAGACUAGGGAUUCUGUGUGAACCUGUUAACUUCCCUCGACACUUCCUGUUAAGGUGGUUGGAGCACCCGGAACUAGCUGAUAAAGGUGCUCAGUUUACUUACAUUGAUGUGUUCCAUGCUGGAAAGCGGAUGAAUAAGCAGCAGGUGUUAAAUACGCUUGGACAUGACUAUAUUUUCGAUCAAGAUACAUUAAGAAUCGCUACUCCACUUCAAGCAGCACAUAGACUGAUCAAGAAUCUUAUUUCAAUCGGCGCCUCUGAAAACAAUUUAAAGGAUUCUAGUUUCUCUCUUUUGAUGUCUGCCUUGAAACUGAUGGUUUUACUGAACACGGAGCAGGUUCCAGAUUUCGUCUUCAUGCUCAGCAGAGUUUACCUGCAGCUUAAUAUCAAUCAUGAGGAGACUACUACACUGCUCAGCAGAUUUUCAGGAGAUCAAUAUCUUUCCGAGCAGGUUCGAUACCUGCUCACUACUUGUCAGAUGCAGAAAGUUGAGAAGGAUUUAGAAACUAACGAUAUUAUUCCUAAGAAGAGGGAUCCAGAAGGUAACAAUAUCAGGUACAAAGUGGGAAAUGUAAUGAAGCAUAAGAAGUAUGAUUACAAGUGCGUUAUCUAUGGCUGGGACGAUCACUGCUCAGCUUCGACGAUAUGCUGCUGAUGAGAACCUUGAACCCUGCACUCCUACACCAAUUCAUCAUCCACAUAUUGGAAAAUAUUUUAAGGAGUUUUGCCCAGAGAGAGGUUACAUCCCGAAUACAGAGAAAAUGAAAGAAUACCCAGACGACUUUUCCUAGAAGUUCUUACGGAAGAAC
Molecule: unclassified non-coding RNA, 1833 nt
Filed under: Eurytemora carolleeae
Lineage: Eukaryota; Metazoa; Arthropoda; Copepoda; Calanoida; Temoridae
Description: f-box only protein 21
Source: RNAcentral